UUACGGCCAUAUCACGUUGAAACACCGGUUCCCGUACGAUCACCGAAGUUAAGCCACAACGUCGAGCCUGAUCUAUAUCUCGAUGAGUGACCGCUUGGGAAUACCAUGUUCUGUAA
Molecule: non-coding RNA, 116 nt
Organism: Acanthosepion pharaonis
Lineage: Eukaryota; Metazoa; Mollusca; Cephalopoda; Sepiida; Sepiidae
Source: the annotation of a GenBank genome assembly